AUGUAUUCCAAAAAGUCAAGUGUGGCGAGUGGGGCGGGGCCGAGGGACGUGGGAACAAGGAGUGAGGCUGGCGGAAUGAUUGGGAAAUCAGCGACACCUGCGCCCCACCGCCGGUCUCGAGUCCCACGUAGGAGAUGGAAGGAUAUAAAACUGGAGCGACGAUAGGGAAGGACGAGAGAGGACCAGGCCUGGGCAUUAGAUUAUGUUUUGCUUUUUAUUUGUGCGCAUCAGUCAUCCGUGAGGGGCUGAUGCGUUUUGUUUAUUUUGAGAUUAUUAAAGUUUCAUUUUGAUUGUGCGCCGGUUCCCGCCUCCUUCUUCCCGAUGAAUAUGGAGAUUUUAUCAUUACAUCAAGGUAUCUUGAAACCUUGAAACCAAACCCAUUCUGUCAUGAAAGUAUUACAUAUCCUUGCAUAAAAUCUUGCAUGAUCUAUAAGUGGUACUCAGACUCAACAGAUCUCUCUGCAGAUUAUAUUGUGCGUGUUGAAAUUCAGCUCUUUGUAGUAUUAUGAAAUAUUAUUACCAUUUAAAAUAACUUUUCAAUUAAUCCAGUCUUCACUGUUACACAAUCUUUCAGAAAUUAUUCUAAUAUGCUGAAUUGGUGCUUAAGAAACAUCUCUUAUUACUAUUGAAAACAGUGAUCAACUUUUUCAGGAUUCUUUGAUGAAUAGAAAGCUCAAAAGAACAGUGUUGGAAGGGAAAUUAAAAUAAUUAUAUAAUUCUAAAUAUGAUGAAAACAUGUUAUAUUAAAUAUUAUACAAAUGAUAAUAAUUUACUUUUAAUUAGGUUAUUAUAUACAUUAUAUAAAUAAGCUGUUCUGCGAAAUAAACAGUAUACAAAACAGAAAUUAAACCUACUUACAUUUAAUUUUUCAUUUUCAUUAAAUUCUUUUUUUAAUUUUUUUCAAGUGCUAAAAUGGAGAAACACAUGAUUGCAUUCAUGUUUGCAGCCAAUUGAAAAGUAAAUUGAAUCUUUUUUUUUAUGUUCCUGCGUUUAUGCAUGUUCUGACACAUACACAUUCCUGAAAUGACAGCCACUUGAGCAACCAUCCUCUAUUCCUUUUUUAGUGUGUACAAUCAGAACUUAUUUGGAGUAUAAAUUGUGAUGCAUUAUAUAAAAGUUCCUUACCUUGUUGUUACAGUAGUAGCCUAAUUAGGCAAUAUAAUGUUGGCUUCUAUCACAUAUCUCAACUAAAUGCAAAGCACUGAGCUUUGAACUGCUCUUAGGAUUAAGCAGGACUGACCCAUUGCCAUACACGGAAAACACAUCGCAAAGGUCUGUACCUGCGGUAAACAAACAUCAGGGUUACAUCAUGGCAUGUGUGGUGUACCUUAUUCAAAAGACCAAUCAUGCUUAGUUCCUUUCUUUCAACCUUAGUCAUUUUUGGUUAUAUUUCCAUAUUAGGAGUCUACCUGUUCCCAUUGCUUGAGCAGCAUCCACCAGUAGAUCUCAUCAGAUCUUUGCAUGAGCGUGUGUUACCUGUCAAUGUUUCCAUAUAGGGUACUUUAGGUCUGAUAGGUGGAGACAGUCAGUAGGCCAUUUAUAGUGUUUUUGUAUGUAAUCUUAUUGUGUAUUUCUAGUCUCCUAUGUUAUAUACAGUAAAGAGACAAUAAUGCUUUGAAAGGAAGUAGAAUCCUACUGAAUAAAUACAAUGAAAGGAGAAAGAAAAGCAGAUUCUCAAUCACUCUUUCUAAUUUCCGCUUUAAAGAGUCAUGUGACUUUGCCUUGGCGUUCCAAAGUACAAUACCAUGUGACACAUCCAGAGAUUGCCUUAUAAGGAAAUUGGCUGAAUAUCUCUUAAAGGGGCCCUGAACAUAGUUUCUCUGUAAACAAGACACAACACAAAGGUCAUUUAAUUUCCUUUAUAUUGGGCAACAUAACAUGUUUGAACACUGUGUAUAGCUUUAUGGAAGAAAAUGUUUAAUUUCUGGUUGAUACGUAUAUGUAUAAACAUAAAUAAACAUGCCCAUAUGUCAAAACAGCUGCUUAAACUAAUAAAUGACUGAACAAUCACCCUUUACAAGCUAACCACACAGUUCAUGCUCUAGACUUAAUUUCCAAGAAUGGCCUAAAUGAAGCUUGGCUUACUUUAUAUUUCUUUUCUGAUACAGGCUCCUGCGACUUCCUCUCAGAAUUGUCACAAUGGGCUGUGGGUGUAAGACUUUAAGUUGUCUAUCUCUCUUCCUCUUCCUCUUUCAGUUUGAAUCAUUCUAAGGGCUUCAGUAUUUUGCUGCUGAGAGAAACAAUGUGGAUUUUAAAACUGAUACACCAUCUUGAAAACACCAUCAUAUACUCGUACAUGAUACUAACUGGUGGAGUCAUAGACCCCCACACCCGCACAUCAAGCUGAUACUCACACACCCUGGAGACAAUGAAGGCUGUUCCUAUUGCAUACAUUAGGAAGCACUUUGUGAAAAAAGAUGUGGCAAUAGGUUGUAAUGAUGACUCAUUCACCUUUGUGUCUAGGCUUAUCUAUUCUUUAUGGAACCGGUACAUUGUCAAAAUUCAAUAUUAAUACCAUUGCACGCCUAAGCACAUGUUUGUUUGGGGUGGGCAGUUGUACUGGGUGUCACUGCUGUUAAAAGGAUCAUUCCAGCAAUCUCUUGUCACUAGAUAAAUCACACACUACACUGUACUGUGGUGACACUCUGAUGCUUCAAUAUAACUAGCUCCUGAAUGGUUCAUUAACAUAAAAGACACAGUUUGGUUGUCUUUGGUUGUCAGGUCCACACUGAUAAGAGAAGAAAUGCAGAGCACCCCCAGUCAAGACGUGUUGCCAUGCGUCUAAAAUUGCCCACAUUGAAGGCAGUACAGGGAUUAUUACUUAGGCAAUAAAAUAAACUAAUAAAAUAUGAACAGUUAAAUAAUAAUCCAUGUAUAUAAAGUGAUAGUAUAUAACAGUAUAACAAACUUUCAUUGUUUUUUUUACUGGCAUUUCAAUUUCUUUCUUGAUGACAUUUGGGGCCAAUACCAAGUUAUCACAUUUUUACUUAAACUGUUGAAGAUAGCCUACCCAGGGAGAUUUGGGCAUCAAAAUUGACGCAUUUAAUAUUUAGGAAACAUGUAAGACACAUUCUAUUAAAUAUAUCAAUAUAUUAUAUAAAGAAUUUAAGUAACAAAGCAUGUAAUAUAUGUGCACUCCAAAUAUUGGUCUAAAUGCAACAGCGUGAAACGUAAUCGGCUAUGACGUAAUACGCAAAAGCCGGGUUGACAGGAAGUGUCCGGUUCAAGGGAGCAGCAUGCCAUUGUUUUGUAUCCCCUGCAUUGCAGACAACCCGAUAACCUAAAAUAUUUCAAAACUAUUUGACCUUACAUACUUCUGAGCAACGAUGAAUAGAGGAGACGCUGGUCCAAACAAGAAACCCCCAACAUUUCAUUCAUUUCUGAAUUAACGUUACUCCUGAAGCAUACACUGCCUGCAGUUUUACAUUCACAGCAUUACAUUUAAGACAAACUGAUACUAAGCGUUGUGCAUAAAAUUGGCCUCUGACUAACGUUACGUGAAACAGUGCAACGGUGACAGAUUAGUAUAUUUUGAUGUUAAUUUACAGUUGAUCUUACAAUGGUCAUGAGAAAUAUAUGUACUUUAAAUGGGAGCCACGCCCACGUAGUUCAUCUAAUAGAAACUGAACAAAAAGCUUCUUAUGAGCUAAUCCUGAAUGAAUCGCUUUGAAUAUAUAUAUAUAUAUAUAUAUAUA
This 3695-nucleotide long non-coding RNA is filed under the name Carassius auratus (goldfish). RNAcentral describes it as "lncRNA (ENSCARG00000027979.1)". Lineage: Eukaryota; Metazoa; Chordata; Actinopteri; Cypriniformes; Cyprinidae. The record is from RNAcentral.